AAACCAGCACCUCAAGUGGUCAGGAUGAUUAUUGGGCCUAAAGCAUCCGUAGCCUGUUCUGUAAGUUUUCGGAUAAAUCCAUUAGCUCAACUAAUGGGCUGCCGAAAAUACUGUAGAACUAGGGAGUGGGAGAGGUAGACGGUAUUCGGUAGGAAGGGGUAAAAUCCUUUGAUCUAUUGAGGACCACCUGUGGCGAAGGCGGUCUACCAGAACACGUUCGACGGUGAGGGAUGAAAGCUGGGGGAGCAAACCGGAUUAGAAACCCCAGUAGUCC
Molecule: ribosomal RNA, 274 nt
Filed under: uncultured bacterium
Lineage: Bacteria
Description: partial 16S ribosomal RNA
Rfam family: Archaeal small subunit ribosomal RNA
Source: RNAcentral